CCUACGGGGCGCAGCAGUGGGGAAUAUUGCACAAUGGGGGAAACCCUGAUGCAGCAACGCCGCGUGAAGGAAGACGGUUUUCGGAUUGUAAACUUCUGUUCUUAGUGAAGAAUAAUGACGGUAGCUAAGGAGCAAGCCACGGCUAACUACGUGCCAGCAGCCGCGGUAAUACGUAGGAUGCGAGCGUUAUCCGGAUUUAUUGGGUUUAAAGGGUGCGCAGGCGGAAGAUCAAGUCAGCGGUAAAAUUGAGAGGCUCAACCUCUUCGAGCCGUUGAAACUGGUUUUCUUGAGUGAGCGAGAAGUAU
RNAcentral lists this ribosomal RNA (305 nucleotides) under uncultured bacterium. RNAcentral describes it as "bacterial SSU rRNA". It matches the Rfam family "Bacterial small subunit ribosomal RNA", at positions 338 to 660 of the family's 1533-position model. The record is from RNAcentral.